RNAcentral lists this ribosomal RNA (453 nucleotides) under Sadayoshia edwardsii. Its description in RNAcentral is "partial 16S ribosomal RNA". The stretch from base 327 to 453 matches the Rfam family "Bacterial large subunit ribosomal RNA", at positions 2473 to 2600 of the family's 2925-position model. Lineage: Eukaryota; Metazoa; Arthropoda; Malacostraca; Decapoda; Munididae. The record is from RNAcentral.
UAACUGUGCAAAGGUAGCAUAAUCAAUAGUUUUUUAAUUGAAGGCUUGUAUGAAGGGUUGGACAAAGAAUAAUCUGUUUUUAUUUUUUUUUUUGAAUUUAACUUUUAAGUGAAAAGGCUUAAAUAAAUUUAAGGGACGAUAAGACCCUAUAAAUCUUUAUAUUAUUUUGUUUUUAAGUAAAUAAUAAAGUAAAUAGUUUAAUAAAACAAAAAAUAUUUUGUUGGGGUGAUGAAAAUAUAAUUUUUAACUGUUUUAAAAUUUAAACAAAGUUGUUUGGUAGAAAUAAUAAAUCCUUUAUAUAGAUAAAAAAUUUAAGUUACUUUGGGGAUAACAGCGUAAUUUUUUUUGAGAGUUCACAUCGAAAAAAAAGUUGGCGACCUCGAUGUUGAAUUAAAAGUUCUUUGUGGGGCAGGGGCCACAAAAAAAAGUCUGUUCGACUUUUAAAAUUUUACG